UGUGUGUGUGCGUGCGUGUGUGUGUGUGUGUGUGUGUGUAAGGAGGGGUGGGGAUCAGGGGCAGGCUGAGGCAGGAGGAGCAACAGUGGAUGAAUCAGAAGCAGCGGAAUGACACAUUUUUCUUCCAGAAACAAUUCUUUGGGUGAGAUUUUAAUCGCCAGGCCAAAAGGAAUGAGUUGUCGGAGACAGCGCCCCUCAAUAAAUGUACAACGAACGACGUGUAGCCGGGUUUUGUUUUAAGACCUUUAAUAAAUACAAUUCCGUCUUCCUGAUGCUUCGUAUCUUCAGUCAUACUGAAAGUAUUAUUGUCGUUAUUUUGCAAACAUUUCAGUUCUAGAGGGUCCUUGGAGCAGGGCCGGAGCCACGCCCAGGACCGCGAUCACCUGCUGCGCGUCGGCGGGGACUCGGUCCCCUCAUCUCCGCUUCCCUCCCCCACCCCCAGGCUGAUGGAUAUUCUUGGAUGUGGACCCCUUUAAAAAUGACAAAUGUCUUGUCAAUACAGACUAUCCAUCCUUUCUUGCUUUCUCAUCAUUUUUCGGCGCCGAGAAGGGACCCAGGCGCAGGCCCAGCGGCGCGUGUCACGCGGCCUGCACUGUAACGUAAUCGCUAAAACCUUGGCCUAAUUUACAACUAAUGUAUCUCGAGUGAAGGAGUCGGCGAGAAAUCAGUGGCCCAAGGAGCUAGAUUUAAGCUGUGGAGGAAUCGGAAAUUAAGGAACUGUAAGGAGGAUUAUCAUUCUCCCGUCUCCCCUCCCACACACGACCAUAGUAACUCAAGAUCUGAGCUGAGAGAAACCGGAGUCCUUGAAAGGCGGCUAACGGCGCCCCUCCCCACCGCCUCCCAGUCGCUCUACGUGGAUACAGAUAUGACUUGCUUUUGUUACAGUUGGAUCACAGAACCUCAGGCCUUGAAUGGAUCCUUGACUUUCUCAUAUUUGGACAAACAACAGCUUCAAAGUUGCCUACAAUGUACUAAACAAAGUUAGGAGAACUGCCCCAGAUAUGAUGAAAUUGUUUCCUGUAUGUGAAUGUUGAGAUUUAAGGAAAUGUCAUGAUUCCCCUUUGACUCACAUGUAAAUUCUUUUUUAUUUUUUUUUGAAUGUUACUGCCUUUGAGACUUGCAAAUAGUUAAACCAGUUUACAUAGUUCUUUUUUCCCCUUUCUUUUUAAGUACAGCUCUUAAGUAAGCAGACACUUUAACUUGCCUUCUUAUUAGACAGCCUUUUCUUUAUUGCUUUUUCAUAGCACAGCUAUCAAAAAUGAGAUAAUGUGCAAGAUCUGGGACCUAAUCAGCUUUCUAGCUGAGUUUAAAGAGUCCAGAGCCUGUUUAAAGGUAGCUCUGGUUAUGUGUGAGGGCCUACUGCAGUGUUUGUCCUGCCACAUUUUGAUGGAGAGGGUAAUGUGUUUGCUAGAUAAGGCAAAAGGGACCAGCCAAAAAAGCAAGGCUCUGUUUGAUAAACCCUGACAUAGUUAGCCAUUUUUCUCCCACAUGAAAGGAAGCUUUAAAACCCCAAGGAAAAAAGAGGUGUCCACUCAAGCACACUAAUGUUUAUCGAGACAAAAAAAGUAAAUAAAGAAAAUUGGCAUCUUUUAGUCUAUUAAAUUAAUGAGCUCUAGAGCUUAUCAUGGAAUUGAAAAGCUGGAUAAAAUACAAGUCUAUUUCUUGUUGCUGUUAUUUGAUGUGAAAGGUGAGUUCUUUACGUCAGUGUACAUUGAAAAGACAGUUACUUUGUUUGGCUUGUCUCACUCUGGUAGAAGACUUGAACUCUACAGGAAGGAGUUCAUGAGCCGAAGUUGCACUUUUAUAAUGCUGACUGGUGUGGACUUGGGAUGAGAACUCAGUCUGACAUUAGUGUUAAACAUACACGAUGACAUUCUCUGUCAAGUGAUCUAUAGCCUGAAAACAGAUUUACAAAGCCAGAAUAAAAAUAUGCCACCUGACAUCUACUCAUAAUUAGAGGUCAGUUCUAAAAGUCCAAUUAAAAUAAGUUCAUACAUAAAGAUGUUUUAAAAUAAAAUGGCUUUACAAUCUAGAAUGAUGUGAAAGUCCUGGAGGUGAACUAUUGGCACAGGUGAGACACUUAUAAUAAUUGUCUUUUUCUAGGAAAAAUAAAGGGACAAAAUAUCAGAAAUCUUCCUAAAAUAGAGCUGUCUCUCGAAAUAAGAAUUUAAAUGAUAUAAGUUUGAAGAUUAUUUGGGGCUUGAUUUUUAUAAUAUGAUCACUUCCAGUUAAUUUAGAAAGAAAUAUCAAUCUUAGGUCAAUAUCUUAGUAAAACUUUCUACUUUUUUUCUUUAGAAAAGAUACUCCUCUAAUGUCUUGUUUUUCUAAAUCCCAAGUAUUUGAUAAACCGAAAAAGUGGCUUCAGAAGAUCAGUUCAUCUAUAGGACAUUUCAUUUUAUUUAUUUUUAAGAUUUAAAUUUUUUUUUAAUCUUUUAAAAAUAUCUUAUUUAUUCAUUUGACAGAGAGAGAGAUAACAAGCAAGGGGGGGUCUGCCUAGAGGGAGAGUGAGAAUCAGGCUCCCCAGAGCAGGGGGGAGCCUGAUGUGGGAAUCCAUCUUAUGACCCCGGGAUCACGACCUGAGCUGAAGGCAGUCGAUUAACCAACUGAGCCACCCAGGCGCCCUAAGAUUUUGUUUUUUUAAAGUAAUCUCUACACCCAACGUGGGGCUCGAACCCACAACCCCACGAUCAAGAGUUGCAUGCUCCACUGACGCCAGCAGGGUGCCCUUAUAGAACGUUUUAAAAUAUAAUCACUUGAAUCUUUAGAACUGUGUUUCUCUUAUAUAUUAAUCAUUUCAAACAUUUUUUAUGGCUCUGUGUUAAUAAUCUAUAUGAGUGUAGAUUUUUAGAUGAAUUUAAUGUCAACUAGGGAUUAAUGUGAAUUAAUUAAAUUGACUGUAUCUUCUUUAAUGAGAAAAAAAGGAUUUAGUUUUAAUACUGAUGAUCUUAAUAAAGCUUCUCUCUACUUAUCUGUAUUUUCUCAACAUUAGGACUUAUUUUUAUUAGAAGGUGA
Long non-coding RNA from Mustela lutreola (European mink), 3012 nucleotides. RefSeq lists it as uncharacterized. Lineage: Eukaryota; Metazoa; Chordata; Mammalia; Carnivora; Mustelidae. The record is from RefSeq and is a predicted model, not a curated record. The transcript has 3 exons.